GACGAACGCUGGCGGCGUGCUUAACACAUGCAAGUCGAACGGAAAGGCCCUGCUUUUGUGGGGUGCUCGAGUGGCGAACGGGUGAGUAACACGUGAGUAACCUGCCCUUGACUUUGGGAUAACUUCAGGAAACUGGGGCUAAUACCGGAUAGGAGCUCCUGCUGCAUGGUGGGGGUUGGAAAGUUUCGGCGGUUGGGGAUGGACUCGCGGCUUAUCAGCUUGUUGGUGGGGUAGUGGCUUACCAAGGCUUUGACGGGUAGCCGGCCUGAGAGGGUGACCGGCCACAUUGGGACUGAGAUACGGCCCAGACGCCUACGGGAGGCAGCAGUGGGGAAUAUUGCACAAUGGGCGGAAGCCUGAUGCAGCAACGCCGCGUGCGGGAUGACGGCCUUCGGGUUGUAAACCGCUUUCGCCUGUGACGAAGCGUGAGUGACGGUAAUGGGUAAAGAAGUACCGGCUAACUACGUG
This 468-nucleotide ribosomal RNA is filed under the name uncultured bacterium. RNAcentral describes it as "partial 16S ribosomal RNA". It matches the Rfam family "Bacterial small subunit ribosomal RNA", at positions 28 to 507 of the family's 1533-position model. The record is from RNAcentral.